This 737-nucleotide long non-coding RNA is filed under the name Mytilus galloprovincialis (Mediterranean mussel). Lineage: Eukaryota; Metazoa; Mollusca; Bivalvia; Mytilida; Mytilidae. The record is from RNAcentral.
GUUUCUAAGAAAAAUUAACCAUUUUGACUAAAAUAAAUAACAAGCAAAUAAAAAUAACAACUGUAAGAACCAAAAGUUUAAGCAGAACUGACGAACAGGCGUCGAAAUUACGUCAAUGUUGGAUUGUUGGCAAAGUUGGAAAAUCGUUGGAUUGUUGGAUCGCGCGCUUAAUUGCCGUCCAACUAAAUAUUUGAAUUCUUAAAUAAAUUACAAAAAUCACAAUAAUAUACAAUUUUAGUAACUUUUAUAUAAUAAACAAAGUUUGCAUGGUACUAAACAAAUUUCUAUGGUAACUACAAAUACAACAAUAUAUUCAGCGCCACCGGAAGUCACAAUACGUAAACAACAUUGCAAAAAGUUAUGUCUGUCACCGGCGGAUUAAAAUGAUAAAUAUCCAGGAAAAUGAACAUUAACAUUUGCAAAACAUUGAAGACGUUGACUACAAAUACUAAAAAGAAAUUACCAGAAGUAUGUGAAAACAGUUGCCAACACGUAAAAAUAGUGUUUUUAUUGAACAACCGUCCCAAAUGACACAUGGGUUCUACUGCGCAUGUCAAUACAUUUCAUUCAUAAAAUUCAAGCACCGGCGGAUUAAAAUGAUAAAUAUCCAGGAUAAUGCACAUUAACAUCUGCAAAACAUUGAAGACGUUGACUACAAAUAACUAUGAACUUGUAAAUUAUAACAUGAACUUCAACUGGUUAUCAAAUAUGUGCAAAUGACAUUAAUUCAAUAUUUC